AGAGAGGGUUUCGGCUAGAGAGAGGAAGAGAAAGAAAAAAAAAUUAGCUCAUCAAUUCUUGGUCCAAAAAUCAUAAUCUUCUAGUAUUCCUAUUAAGUUGGAAACCCUCUUCAAUGUGAUACAAAUUUGGAAGCAAAAGAGUACUUUUUUUACAAAGUGGAAAUUCUUGAAAAAGAUAUUGGAGAGCCCGAGACUUGAGUCGGGAUUUGUUUGGCGAGUGAUCGAGAUUUGGUAGUGAGCGAUCGAGGUACAGACGUUUGUUCUGGUGACCCGCCAGUGUAGGAUACAUUCUGCUACUUUGGAGUGCUCCUUUGACUCGGAGCCCAUACUUUUGGUAAAGACCUCUCAUUGUAUAUGUCUCUGUAUAUAUGUAAGACUAUCUGGGGUACGGCGGGGCCCUGUCCCGUCAUAUGUUUCUGUUAUGUUUUGUAGAGGCCUGUAGUCAUAUAUGUGGGUCAUGGGUCAUGUUUGUUCGUUUGUGAUUAUGAUCUGCGUC
Molecule: long non-coding RNA, 496 nt
Organism: Lycium barbarum (goji berry)
Lineage: Eukaryota; Viridiplantae; Streptophyta; Magnoliopsida; Solanales; Solanaceae
Exons: 3
Source: RefSeq, a predicted model, not a curated record